Molecule: unclassified non-coding RNA, 586 nt
Filed under: uncultured fungus
Lineage: Eukaryota; Fungi
Description: sequence contains 18S rRNA gene, ITS1, 5.8S rRNA gene, ITS2, 28S rRNA gene
Source: RNAcentral
GGUGGGACAUGAGCGACUACAUCGCCGCGAUCUUCGAGGUCCUUUACACGUACGACACGAACCGGACGACGUUCAGAGACAGCAUCUCGGGCAUCGCCGAGCCGAGCUUCGAGAAGCCGCACGCGGUCGGCUUCAACGCGAUCGUCCAGGCGCGUUUUUAGAAGUUACAAACCCAUCUGCUUGGCGAUGAUCUCGUUCAUGAUCUCGCUCGUGCCGCCGCCGAUCGGCCCCAGGCGCGCGUCGCGCCAGUGCCGCUGAAUGUCGUACUCCAUCAUGUAGCCGGCGCCGCCGUGCAGCUGCAGGCUCUGAUCGGCCACGCGGCAGCACAUCUCGGUCGCGACCUUCUUCGCCAUCGCGGUCUGCCCCAGCGCGUACUCGCCCGCCGCGUGCAGCCGCAGCGCGUGGUACGUGAGCUGCCGCGCGCACUCGAGGUCCGUCGCCAUCUCGGCGAGCUUGUGCCGUGUGACCUGGAACUCGGAGAUCGACUUGCCGAACGCCUUGCGGUCUUUCGUGUAGGCGAUCACGUUGUUGAUCAUGUCGUCGGCCGCGCCGAUCGCGCCGAGCGCCAUCGAGAUCCGCUCCCACU